RNAcentral lists this long non-coding RNA (704 nucleotides) under Nicotiana benthamiana. RNAcentral describes it as "long non-coding RNA (NBEN_LNC015769)". The record is from RNAcentral. Lineage: Eukaryota; Viridiplantae; Streptophyta; Magnoliopsida; Solanales; Solanaceae.
GUACACGCAAAUCGAGGUGAGUAAAAAGGAGGCUUCAAAGGCCUCUAAGCAAAGAAUUUACUCGUAAAUCAAGUGAUGACCCAAGGUCAUCACAUCUUCUUGGCCUGCGCCAAGGACUUCUCCUUUAUACCUAGGAGCUGGACUUCAGCCGAAGCUAGUUUGGCCCAGAUGGUCUCCUUUUCUGAGGCCAUGUUGUCCAUGUUCUUUUUCUAUUCUUUGGUCUCAACCUUUACCGCAUCUACCUAUUCCCGAUUUGCCCGAUCUUGUCGACCUUCUAUUGGACCUACGGGUCGGGCCUUUAGUCAUCAUGUCCAAUUCAUCGUCACUAACCUCAUAAAUUCUUCUUACCUUCUCAGCCAGGUCUGCAUGCUCUUUCCGAGCCACCUCUAACUCAGCCCGGAGGCCCUUAGCUUCCCUUUUCUUUGCUCACAGAGAAGUUUAUAAGCAUCUCUUUUCUCAGUGAGCCCUUGGAUCUCGGCCUCGUACAAGUUCAUCUCUUCCCGAUAUCGGAGGAACAUCUUAUAGUGGAGUACCAAAUCGUACAAACAUAAUAACCCCAUUUUAUGUCUGUUGGGAUUAGUUGAACAAAUAAGGCACUUAGACCUCAUUUAUCUUUGUCCGAUCCUCCUUGGUCACCAAGUGUCGCGCCCUUUUCUUCUUGCGAAAUCGGGUUUAUAAAAUUUGGGUGGACAACUCAUUAUCUU